This is a long non-coding RNA of Homo sapiens (human), 2760 nucleotides long. Ensembl annotates it as ZNF213 antisense RNA 1 (head to head). Its record names the gene ZNF213-AS1. The record is from Ensembl. Lineage: Eukaryota; Metazoa; Chordata; Mammalia; Primates; Hominidae.
UCGCUCUGUCACCCAGGCUGGACUGCAGUGGCGCGAUCUUGGCUCACUGCAACCUCCGCCUCCUGGAUUCAAGCGAUUCUUCUGCCUCAGCCUCCCGAGUAGCUAGGAUUACAGGCAUGUGUCACCACGCCCGGCUAAUUUUGUAUUUUUAGUAGAGACGGGGUUUCUCCGUGUUGGUCAGGCUGGUCUCGAACUCCUGACCUCAGGUGAUCUGCCCGCCUCGGCCUCCCAAAGUGCUGAGAUUACAGACGUGAGCCACCGUGCCUGGCGGAAUUUUCAUAUUUUAAGUCCCCCACCCUUGGACAUUUAGAUUUUUUCCAUCUUUCUGUAUUUGCAGAUAUGCUUCUACGUACACCUUUAUUCAUUUGCUUGAACAUUUCCCUGAGAAAAACUAGAAAUGGAAUUGCCAGAUUACUUUGUGUACAUGUUUCCAAACUGUCCUCCAGAAAGAAUGUAAUGCUUUGAACUUCCACUUGAGAAUCAAAUGUUUACCUUCCUCUGUUCCUCCAGAUUUGGACAUUUACAGUGUUCAGCCGUUGUUGUGGCAUUCCAAUUCAAUUGGGAAACAGCUUGAUGUAGCGUCCCCAUAAGGUCCACAGUAAUUAAAUUUUUUUUUUUUUUUUUUGGUGCGGUAGUGCAAUUUCAUGGCUCACUGCAACCUCCACCUCCCAGGUUCAAGCGAUCCUCCCAUCUCAGCCUCCCUAGUAGCUGGGAUUACAGGUGCACGCCACCACACCAGGCUAAUUUUUGUAUUUUUAGUAGAGAUGGGGUUUCACCAGGUUAGCCAGGCUGGUCUUGAACUCCAGACCUCAAGGGAUCCGCCUGCCUCAGCUUUCCAAAGUGCUGGGAUUACAGGUGGAGACUGGACCUCAGAAGAGGGAGUGGGUGCCCCGAGAACUCACAGCUAGCGGACAGUGGAAAGGGCAGGAGCCGGACCAAGGUGAGGACAGUGGAACUGAAGGCCGCUGGUUACCUCUCCUGCCCUCCGCUGGCCACAGUGGAGAAGACAGCCCCUCCCUCCUGCUCUGACCUGACAGUGUUCAUCCAUCGCCCUGUAUUAGCGAAGAACAACAUCAAGCUGGCUAGCAAGGAACUGUAUACAGGGUCCAGCUGGGUAUCACACUGGAUCUCACCCAAAGCUUAGAUGUGAUCCAGCUCAGUAUCACAAAGCAGAACGAAAAGGAUGUGUUUGGGCUGAGAGGCCAUACAUUGGCUCCGGCAUGACGGGUGACUUCUUCCGAGUCUGGCUUCUGCAGCACACAGGGCUUCGCCAGCACCCAGCUCCUGCAGCAUGGGCAGCUCCUGUGACAGCAGGCGCCCGCAGCCUGCAAAGCGUCUCCAGUGCCGCCGCCUCAGUGAACCUCAACCAGCGGCACCUAGCAGCUUUCUCUGCCACCCUCUUCAGGUAGUUCUGUAGCAGCGCGUUUCUCAUGAGACACUUCCCUGUGAGCAGCUUUUUCUACCCUUGAGGAUGGAUUUCCAGCAAAUUCUGCCCAUGUGGUACCACAGCCACUUCUCUGCCAUUCAGUGAAACUGCCGUUGUGCCCUCUUCAAGGUCUGGAUCUAAGCCCAGGGACCAGGAAACCUCUUGCUUGAGUGCUGGAACUCAGGCCAGAAGGCACUCCAGAGCCGCGAGCCGCCUCGCACAGCCCGCGCGUUUCUUCUGCUCCCCCGGAAGAGGGCACGGUCUCCUUCCUGGCCGCUCUCUGCCGGCCGUACCGCACGACAGCUGGCAGCACCGUCAGCCCCUGCUCGGGAGCUCGGAAGAUGCUCUAGCUCCGCGGCCAGUGCAGCGAACCCACCCAACCCUGGUGCAGGAGCCAUUGCAGCAAAUUGACAGGGAGUCCUCUGGGCCGGAAGUGGCCCUGGCCCUGCGCCGUAUGCUCUCUAGGACUGCAGGAGGCUCGGCAUCUCGGUGAUAGACCCAGGAAGUCAGUGGCUGGGCGGGGCGGGCUGUGAGGACUGAGGUCUGUAGCGAAGGUCCAGCCCCGUGGUCUUCGCUUCGUUCGGCAACGAACGCCCAGCGAAGGGUAAGACGAAAUGCUUCAAAGACAGGAUCCUGGAGCAGUUGCCGGGGCAACCGUGCGGCUUGGGGCGUGGCGGUGAGGGGAAAAGGGCCGGGCACAAACUUCAGCCGUGAUUGGCUGGUUCUGCUGGAGCCGCCUUUCUCCCCGCCCCGAUGCCUGAAUGGCUAAGGGCAGGGGGGCGUGGCCUCCUGGAUUCAGUCAUGCCGGCGACGGGGCCGCCGAGCGAGAGGCUGGGUCCAUGGGACCCUGCAGGCUCUGGGCUUCGCUACACGGCCGGGCCCGGGAACUGGGAGACGGUGUCCUAGGCUAGGACGGCGCUGAGGCCGACGCCCCCGGCCCAGAGGGGCAGCGCCGACAGCCGAUCCCUGAGCGCUUGCAACAGGAACCUGGGGCCGCAGGGAAGCAGGUGGGAAGCCAGGAUGCAUACAUCCUGCCUCUCCGCCUCCGCCCUCACCGUGCUCCUGACACCGCAUCAGUGAUGAUCUGGUGGAGUUCUCCAGUGGCCGAGAAGCCCCGAGGAAGCCAGGGAAACCGCUGAACCUCCUCAUCCUCUACCCAGGGAGACACCAAGACCCUUACCUGGCUUCUUCCCUCCAGCCUCCUACCUCUCAGUGACGCCCAUCACCUACCAAACUAUGAGCACCCUUCAGCCUGGCGUUCCAGGUCCUUCCCUGGCACAGCCCCUACUCCUCCCUGUCUUAUUUGUGCUUGUCGAAUAUUUCCGAAACUGCCA